Pelobates cultripes (western spadefoot toad) is the source of this 207-nucleotide non-coding RNA. The record is from the annotation of a GenBank genome assembly. Lineage: Eukaryota; Metazoa; Chordata; Amphibia; Anura; Pelobatidae.
GUUAAUUAGCGCUUACUCUUUUUUUUUUCUGUUGCUCUAAAGGUGCAUGAAGGCACAACACAAAGCAAAGGAACCAGGAUAUGAUUUUGCUGCAAAAAGGCCGGUCCCCUGAAAAAGAACUGUUCAAUCUGGAAAGCUGAGCAGAGAAGGAAAGAGCCACCCACAAGAGAAAGGGUUAAAACAGUUACAAAGUAAACUGUAGGUGCA